CAGUCGCCACGGGAAUACAGAGGGUGCGAGCGUUAAUCGGAUUUACUGGGCGUAAAGCGUGCGUAGGCGGCUUUUUAAGUCGGAUGUGAAAUCCCUGAGCUUAACUUAGGAAUUGCAUUCGAUACUGGGAAGCUAGAGUAUGGGAGAGGAUGGUAGAAUUCCAGGUGUAGCGGUGAAAUGCGUAGAGAUCUGGAGGAAUACCGAUGGCGAAGGCAGCCAUCUGGCCUAAUACUGACGCUGAGGUACGAAAGCAUGGGGAGCAAACAGGAUUAAAUACCCCGGUAGUCCCUGUCUCUUAUAC
Molecule: ribosomal RNA, 301 nt
Filed under: uncultured bacterium
Lineage: Bacteria
Description: partial 16S ribosomal RNA
Rfam family: Bacterial small subunit ribosomal RNA
Source: RNAcentral